Gilliamella sp. N-G2 is the source of this 408-nucleotide non-coding RNA. The record is from Rfam. NCBI's taxonomy places the organism in Bacteria, Pseudomonadati, Pseudomonadota, Gammaproteobacteria, Orbales, Orbaceae.
AACAUUUAGAUUUAUGCAGUUUGUAGUUUACUUCGAUCACAUUUGUAUUAGUUUUCUUCAGUCUUGUCUUCUCUUUGUUAAUAAGUAGUCUAGGUUUUAUGUUUUUAAGUAUUGCCUUUUAUGGUAGAGAUUAAUUUAUUUAUAGGAAGAUUAUUAUGUCUAAAAAAACUGGUCAAGUUAAAUGGUUCAAUGAAAGUAAAGGUUUCGGUUUUAUUUCUCCUUCAGAUGGAAGUAAAGAUGUGUUUGUUCACUUCUCUGCGAUUUCUGGUGAUGGGUUUAAAACUCUAGGCGAAGGUCAACAAGUAGAAUUUUCUAUCCAAGAUAGUGCUCGUGGUCCAGCAGCUGCUGAUGUUACAAUCAUCUAACUGAUUGUUUAAUCUUACCAGUAAUUUUUUACUGGUAAGAUUC